UACGAAGGGGGCUAGCGUCGCUCGGAAUCACUGGGCGUAAAGCGCACGUAGGCGGACUCUUAAGUCGGUGGUGAAAUCCUGGAGCUCAACUCCAGAACUGCCUUCGAUACUGGGAGUCUCGAGUCCGGGAGAGGUGAGUGGAACUGCGAGUGUAGAGGUGAAAUUCGUAGAUAUUCGCAAGAACACCAGUGGCGAAGGCGGCUCACUGGCCCGGUACUGACGCUGAGGUGCGAAAGCGUGGGGAGCAAACAGG
RNAcentral lists this ribosomal RNA (253 nucleotides) under uncultured bacterium. RNAcentral describes it as "partial 16S ribosomal RNA". It matches the Rfam family "Bacterial small subunit ribosomal RNA", at positions 524 to 776 of the family's 1533-position model. The record is from RNAcentral.